RNAcentral lists this ribosomal RNA (970 nucleotides) under human gut metagenome. RNAcentral's name for it is "bacterial LSU rRNA". It matches the Rfam family "Bacterial large subunit ribosomal RNA", at positions 1954 to 2925 of the family's 2925-position model. The record is from RNAcentral.
AGGUAGCGAAAUUCCUUGUCGGGUAAGUUCCGACCCGCACGAAUGGUGUAACGAUUUGGGUACUGUCUCAACAAGGGACCCGGCGAAAUUGUAGUAUGUGUGAAGAUGCACAUUACCCGCGAUAGGACGGAAAGACCCCGUAGAGCUUUACUGUAGUUUAACAUUGGAUUCCGGUAACAUAUGCACAGGAUAGGUGGGAGGCGGAGAAGCAGUGAUUUCGGUUGCUGCAGAGCCGACGUUGGGAUACCACUCUUGUGUUACUGGGGUUCUAACCUGUGGCCGUGAUCCGGCACAGGAACAGUGUUAGAUGGGCAGUUUGACUGGGGCGGUCGCCUCCAAAAGAGUAACGGAGGCGUCCAAAGGUUCCCUCAGAAUGGUUGGAAACCAUUCGAAGAGUACAAAGGCAGAAGGGAGCCUGACUGCGAGACCGACAGGUCGAGCAGGGACGAAAGUCGGGCUUAGUGAUCCGGCGGUAUAGAGUGGAAUUGCCGUCGCUCAACGGAUAAAAGCUACCUCGGGGAUAACAGGCUUAUCUCCCCCAAGAGUCCACAUCGACGGGGAGGUUUGGCACCUCGAUGUCGGCUCGUCGCAUCCUGGGGCUGAAGCAGGUCCCAAGGGUUUGGCUGUUCGCCAAUUAAAGCGGCACGCGAGCUGGGUUCAGAACGUCGUGAGACAGUUCGGUCCCUAUCCAUCGUGGGCGCAGGAGAUUUGAGAAGAGCUGUCCUCAGUACGAGAGGACCGGGAUGGACGCACCAAGGGUGUAUCAGUUGUCACGCCAGUGGCACAGCUGGGUAGCCAAGUGCGGAUCGGAUAAACGCUGAAGGCAUCUAAGCGUGAAGCCGACUUCAAGAUAAGAUCUCCCAUCCGCAAGGAGUAAGGCCCCAUGUAGACCACAUGGUUGAUAGGUCGCAGGUGGAAGUGCAGUAAUGUACGCAGCUGAGCGAUACUAAUAGGCCGAGGGCUUGAUCAA